Apus apus (common swift) is the source of this 97-nucleotide small nucleolar RNA. RefSeq annotates it as small nucleolar RNA SNORD21. Lineage: Eukaryota; Metazoa; Chordata; Aves; Apodiformes; Apodidae. The record is from RefSeq and is a predicted model, not a curated record. The transcript has a single exon.
GCUACGUGAUGAUAUUCCCAGAGACUGAACACUCUGUAGUUGGUCCUUGGUGUGUUCAUGAUGUAUUGCACUGUUUCAAGACGGGACUGAUGGCAGC